AGGAGACCAGACAUGUGGAGAAAAGAGCAAACUUCGUUGGAAUCCUGCUGUGUGAUUGUCCUAAACGGAUGCUUCAAGCUUUGCUGAGCCAUAACGACAUCUUGGAGAAGGUACUGCAUCCAGAGACCUCACCUGAAGGCUACCACUCAUUCAGAGAUGACACUUGUUUCAAAGGUUGUCUCAGAGUUCAACAGAGUGGCAACUUAAAGACUUUUUUGACGUCCUGGAUCGUCACACUGCCCGUUUUGUCGAACUCUUCGAAUCUAAGCAUGGAGUUGUUGGCGAGAGGCUCCAACAACUCGUGGGACAAACGGACCUAAACGAAACAAGAUGUGGUGGCUCUAUGCACACUAAUACUCUGCGGUCUCCCAAUCCUUCUUGGUGAUGCCCCCACAGACUUUUACAACACCUGCUUGGAUUCUGAUGGUGACGACGUGUUGGCCAACGUCUCCUUUGGGACUUUGACUGUCAUUGAAGACGAUGGCAUACCACCCGGACCCAACCUCCUCUACCUGGAGUCAGUGUCAACUGGAAUUAUCAGUGAGGGAAGUAUUGUGAUGGAUGACCUGAAAACAUUGCCUGAGGCCUUUUGCUUGCUAUUUGGUUUGUCAUACGCCCUUAAUCUUGACUAUCCAAAGGGGAUGACCAACAGCUUCAACUUUGUGCAGCGUGUGAUGUUUAGAUUGGGGCAAAACAUGGCAAAACAGGCUAACUCUCAAUAACUUGCUGUUGAGUUAAACAUGUGGAGGGUUGGGUUCAGCAUUUGAAGCAUAACUGUUCAGUUUGAAUGUUUGUCAUGGCUCCAAUCAUCCUGUGUGUGUUUAUUACGCUUGGAAGAGACAUUAUUGAAACAUUGAUCAUGAUUGAUGUUCAGAUGUACUUAUAUAGUUAUGAUUUAU
Long non-coding RNA from Engraulis encrasicolus (European anchovy), 899 nucleotides. RefSeq lists it as uncharacterized. NCBI's taxonomy places the organism in Eukaryota, Metazoa, Chordata, Actinopteri, Clupeiformes, Engraulidae. The transcript has 5 exons. The record is from RefSeq and is a predicted model, not a curated record.